Molecule: long non-coding RNA, 1394 nt
Organism: Ostrinia nubilalis (European corn borer)
Lineage: Eukaryota; Metazoa; Arthropoda; Insecta; Lepidoptera; Crambidae
Exons: 2
Source: RefSeq, a predicted model, not a curated record
UUUAUUUGGCGACGUCUAUUUUUUUGUUUGUGUCUGCUUUCUUCAGCAAAAUAAUUUUGUUACUUCAUACGACUGCACAUUUUUACCAAAACACGUGCUAUUUUUCAAUAUCGACUCUGUUACAUAAAAAUAGAUAACGUGUCCAGUAAUCAGUGAAUACAUAACCUGUAAACAAAAAACAAAUUGCAAAAAAAAUGGUGCUGCCUUCAGAAAUGGUAAUAAAGCAGGAAAAAGAGGAGCAUAACCCUGCAGAUUAUUUGAGCCCAGACUUCGAAGUUACAGUAAAAGUUGAAGUGGAAAGCUCUCAAAUCAGGGAAUAUGAAGUUAAAACUGAAUUUAUAGGUGAUGAAAACACUGAGGUUUUUGAGUCUGAGGAGGUAGAAUUCGAUGGCGUUGAGUAUGAAGAUUUGAUACAGUACACACGGGUUACGUGUGCGAUUUGUAAUGAGGAGUUUUGUGAAAGGUAUUCACUACUGCGGCACAAUUUGAAACAUUUAAGACUCCUAAUUGAACCAUUGGGAACAAUAAUUCAGAAAGAUAAUAAUAACGUCCCAAUUAAAAGAAAGAAGUCACUGGUAACGAAAGAACUGCAUGAGUGUAAAAUAUGUGGCAAAAUCCAAACGUACAAAACUUGGCAUUCCCACAUGAAAGAGGUUCAUGGUACGGAGGAAUACGAGUGCAGCGUUUGCUCUGCUGUGUUCAAAUGUGCGAGGUACGCACGUAAGCACAUCUACAGUAUACAUAUGAACAAGAAAUUCAAAGGCAGUCGGCAAAUAGAAGGAGUUGAAGUAAAAUGUACCUUAUGUCCUGCUAUACUUAAGAGUAAAUAUGCAUUAUCAACGCACAUGAGAAACUGUCACAGUGAGAAAGCUCAAUGUGAAAUCUGCCAGUCUGUGUUGAAAAGUCGGUCGUAUUUGCUGAUUCAUAUGAACAGAGUACAUUACAACGAUGGCAAAGAGCACAAAUGUCACUGCGGAAAGAAGUUUCGGUCGCCGAGAUAUUUGAAAAUACACAUGAAAAAUUCCAAACAUGCAAGGAGAUGAGAUUGGUGGAUCGUUUUUAUUUUCAAUAUUAUUUGAAACCAAAAUUGUGAAGUGCUCUUAUACAAAAAGUUUAAAAACUUUUUGUAUAAGAGCACUUCACAAGCAUACAUAUUACUCCAGCAGCAUGUAUGGAUAAUUUCUGGGCAAUUACCUUUUAAAUUGCUCAUUAAAAAUAUUAUUUACGUUGUUAACUGUGGCAGGUUCCUGAGUUACAAACGAUCUUUUUUCCUAUUUUAAGUUAAUCUUGUCAAGUAUUAAUAUUUGAAGCAAGUAUUUGUUAUUAGAAUAACAGUUUUUGUUAAUUACUUCUAAGACUCGUUAACUCUAUAAAUAAAAAGUUUUACUAUCGUC